RNAcentral lists this ribosomal RNA (734 nucleotides) under uncultured Enterobacteriaceae bacterium. Its description in RNAcentral is "bacterial SSU rRNA". It matches the Rfam family "Bacterial small subunit ribosomal RNA", at positions 28 to 776 of the family's 1533-position model. Lineage: Bacteria; Pseudomonadati; Pseudomonadota; Gammaproteobacteria; Enterobacterales; Enterobacteriaceae. The record is from RNAcentral.
GACGAACGCUGGCGGCGUGCUUAACACAUGCAAGUCGAACGAUGAAGCCUAGCUUGCUAGGUGGAUUAGUGGCGAACGGGUGAGUAAUACGUGAGUAACCUACCUUUAACUCUGGGAUAAGCCUGGGAAACUGGGUCUAAUACCGGAUACGACCGAUCUCCGCAUGGGGUGUUGGUGGAAAGCGUUAUGUAGUGGUUAUAGAUGGGCUCACGGCCUAUCAGCUUGUUGGUGAGGUAACGGCUCACCAAGGCGACGACGGGUAGCCGGCCUGAGAGGGUGACCGGCCACACUGGGACUGAGACACGGCCCAAACUCCUACGGGAGGCAGCAGUGGGGAAUAUUGCACAAUGGGGGGAACCCUGAUGCAGCGACGCCGCGUGAGCGAAGAAGGUUUUCGAAUCGUAAAGCUCUGUCCUAUGAGAAGAUAAUGACGGUAUCAUAGGAGGAAGCCCCGGCUAAAUACGUGCCAGCAGCCGCGGUAAUACGUAUGGGGCGAGCGUUGUCCGGAAUUAUUGGGCGUAAAGGGUACGUAGGCGGUUUUUUAAGUCAGGUGUGAAAGCGUGAGGCUUAACCUCAUUAAGCACUUGAAACUGGAAGACUUGAGUGAAGGAGAGGAAAGUGGAAUUCCUAGUGUAGCGGUGAAAUGCGUAGAUAUUAGGAGGAAUACCGGUGGCGAAGGCGACUUUCUGGACUUUUACUGACGCUCAGGUACGAAAGCGUGGGGAGCAAACAGG